AGAUCGAUGGUGUAAAUGGCAACAUGAUGGUCUCCAAAACCAUUGCUCAGGGUUCGAGUCCCUGUCGGUCUG
This 72-nucleotide transfer RNA is filed under the name Enterocloster aldenensis. Its description in RNAcentral is "[Clostridium] aldenense tRNA-Trp". It matches the Rfam family "tRNA". Rfam says of the family: Transfer RNA (tRNA) molecules are approximately 80 nucleotides in length. Their secondary structure includes four short double-helical elements and three loops (D, anti-codon, and T loops). The record is from RNAcentral. Lineage: Bacteria; Bacillati; Bacillota; Clostridia; Lachnospirales; Lachnospiraceae.